Hydra vulgaris (swiftwater hydra) is the source of this 832-nucleotide long non-coding RNA. RefSeq lists it as uncharacterized. Lineage: Eukaryota; Metazoa; Cnidaria; Hydrozoa; Anthoathecata; Hydridae. The record is from RefSeq and is a predicted model, not a curated record.
UGGAGAAGGCGAGCUUCGGCUAUAACAACAACAUAAGUUUUUUCUCGUGAUUGCUUAUAAUUAUUGAUCGAUUCAACGCUGCUGCUGAUAGCGUUACCUAUUCGUGCGCGUUUGAAACGAAGUUUUUUUAAACAAGAUUUAGCAUGCUUGGCCUUUUAAUAUUUCUUUUUAUAUUGUUGACCACGCAAUAAGAACUUGAAGACGAUGCUCUUUUUAAAGAUAAAACUUUAGAUAAAGGUCAAACUUUUGAUAUAUUUGGUUUUUAUUUCCAAAACCCUUGCAUCUCACACAUACAACUAUAUGUUGCAUAGCCAAGAACAAGAUCGUUUAAUAGCCUACUUUUUAUAAUUGAUGAACAUUCAUUAAAAGAGUUUAUCUUCUGAAAAAUUAACAAACAUUAAAACAAUAAGAAUAAUGACGGCAUAGCGGAAUCGGAACAUGCAUGUUAAGAAUAAAAAUUGCUAAUUGAAAAGAGAUAUAUCUUUUAACUGUGCAUUUACAAGCUGAAGAAAUGUAACCAUUGAUUUUUUAUACUUUAAAAUGCAUUAAAAUUUGGAAAACAGUUAGAGCUCAUUACUACGAACCUAAAAGACACAAUAAGCCUGUCGUCAAAUAUGUAAUGUCUGUAAAAUUUAACACUAACAGUUUAAUAUUUUGUUAUUGAAAAGAAAUACUGUAUCAAUCACGGGCUGCUCAAAAAAGCAGUUUUACCAACAGUUUAAAAGCUUUUAGUAUGCCAAAUAACCGUGAAGACAAACGAUACACGAUUAAAAAUUCUUUAAUAAGUUGUGUAAUAAUAUUGUAACUUUAAUUGUUAUUUUAUUUGAAAUAA